AAAUCGGCAGCUGGCAGCAGGAAGUGGUUGCCAUUGACAGCCGGAAGGCAGUAACUGACAGCCGGAAGGCAGUAACUGUCAGCCGGAUGGUAGGCGGGACCUGCCAUUCGGUGGGAGCCAAUCAGUAUCGACCAACGUGGGCGCAACCAAUCAGAUAUAACUGCACCCAAACGCUUCAGUAAUGGUUGCGAUUGAUCAAACGUUGCCAGAUGCUGUCCUGUUGGAAAUUCUUCUUUACGUGAUCCUGGAGGAGGGGUGAUGCUACAUUACUAAGUCCGUCUUUGGUUUGUUCCAAAUUCAGAAGUCUGCUGUACUGUAUACAGACUCCUUUCGAAAGAGGGCACAAUCCAGCUGGCUUGACUGAGUAUUUUCUUUUACAUAUUUGAUUAGAGGUUUAAAAAGGUGCCAUAACAUUACAUUUCUCAGUUGCCAUGUCUGAAUGUUUAUCUUUGUAAUAAUGCUGUUUUCAUGCUCCUCAUCUCAAUAUACAGGUGGAACAAAAUGGAGAACAAGUCUAAGCCAUGUUAGGAAUUCAACAAAAUGUACACCCUGCAGACACUGCGACGAGGUUUACAACAACUGCUUACCAGGUCACUGCAGUCACCCGGAUCCAGUACGUAUCCAGACCAGAUGGUGGAUCGCACCUAGAAAGGACCUCUACAGCCCUGAAAGACAGCGGAGACCAGGACAACUAGAGCCCCAGAUACAGAUCCCCUGUAAAGACCUUGUUUUUUCUCCAUUUUGUCACCGGUGGAGUUUUGGUUCCUUGUCGCCUCUGGCUUGCUCCGUUGUGGUCACUUCAUUUACAGUGAUAUCAUUGACAUGAUUCCACAGAUACUAUUUAAACUGAACCGAGCUCAAGGAUGACAUCACUGAACUGAAUGAUAAACUGCCUUUUAAACUGACUACAAACUGAGUUUACUAAUGUCCUUCUGCAUUUUUGACUGACACACUAUUUUCC
Molecule: long non-coding RNA, 961 nt
Organism: Carassius gibelio (silver crucian carp)
Lineage: Eukaryota; Metazoa; Chordata; Actinopteri; Cypriniformes; Cyprinidae
Exons: 3
Source: RefSeq, a predicted model, not a curated record